RNAcentral lists this ribosomal RNA (1388 nucleotides) under metagenome. Its description in RNAcentral is "SSU rRNA". It matches the Rfam family "Eukaryotic small subunit ribosomal RNA", at positions 400 to 1801 of the family's 1831-position model. The record is from RNAcentral.
GAAACGGCUACCACAUCCAAGGAAGGCAGCACGCACGCAAAUUACCCAAUCCCAGCACGGGGAGGUAGUGACGAAAAAUAACAAUACGGGACUCUUAUGAGGCCCCGUAAUUGGAAUGAGAACAAUCUAAAUCCUUUAACGAGGAUCUAUUGGAGGGCAAGUCUGGUGCCAGCAGCCGCGGUAAUUCCAGCUCCAAUAGCGUAUAUUAAAGUUGUUGUGGUUAAAAAGCUCGUAGUUGGAUCUCAGUUCGAGUCAGGUGGUCCACUUGCCAGUGGCUACUGUCCUGACUGGACACUUUACCGAGCUGUCCUAUGGUGCUCUUCACCGAGUGUCAUAGGCGAUCGGUACGUUUACUUUGAAAAAAUUAGAGUGCUCAAAGCAGGCCUAACGCGCCCGAAUAAUGUUGCAUGGAAUAAUGGAAUAGGACCUCGGUUCUAUUUUGUUGGUCUUCGGAAUCUGAGGUAAUGAUCAAUAGGGACAGACGGGGUCAUUCGUAUUGCGGCGCUAGAGGUGAAAUUCUUGGACCGUCGCAAGACGAACUAAAGCGAAAGCAUUUGACAAGAAUGUUUUCAUUAAUCAAGAACGAAAGUUAGAGGUUCGAAGGCGAUCAGAUACCGCCCUAGUUCUAACCAUAAACGAUGCCAACCAGUAAUUCGCCUGAGUUCCUUAAAUGACUCGGCGAGGGACUUCCGGGAAACCAAAGUCUUUCGGUUCCAGGGGAAGUAUGGUUGCAAAGCUGAAACUUAAAGAAAUUGACGGAAGGGCACCACCAGGAGUGGAGCCUGCGGCUUAAUUUGACCCAACACGGGAAAACUCACCCGGCCCGGACACUGGAAGGAUUGACAGAUUGAGAGCUCUUUCUUGAUUCAGUGGGUGGUGGUGCAUGGCCGUUCUUAGUUGGUGGAGUGAUUUGUCUGUUAAUUCCGAUAACGAACGAGACUCUUGCCUACUAAAUAGAUCGUCGGCUUACAAACGCCGACGAGACUUCUUAGAGGGACAGGCGGUGAUUCAACCGCACGAAACAGAGCAAUAACAGGUCUGUGAUGCCCUUAGAUGUCCGGGGCCGCACGCGCGCUACACUGAAGUGAUCAGCGUGCUUUUGUCAACCUACUCUGUCAAGAGUGGGGAACCCAAUGAACCUUCUUCGUGAUUGGGAUAGGGGAUUGUAAUUAUUCCCCUUGAACGAGGAAUUCCCAGUAAGCGCGAGUCAUAAGCUCGCGUUGAUUACGUCCCUGCCCUUUGUACACACCGCCCGUCGCUACUACCGAUUGAAUGUUUUAGUGAGGUCUUCGGACUGGCCGGUGCAGCUACUCUUGUAGUGGCAGCGCUGUGUUUGGAAAGAUGCCCAAACUUGAACAUUUAGAGGAAGUAAAAGUCGUAACAAGGUU